RNAcentral lists this long non-coding RNA (1100 nucleotides) under Mus musculus (house mouse). Its description in RNAcentral is "long non-coding RNA chr12:101912666-101913766". Lineage: Eukaryota; Metazoa; Chordata; Mammalia; Rodentia; Muridae. The record is from RNAcentral.
ACCGCCCUCGCUCCAGCUGUUACCUGGCACAUCCUCCGUGCCCUCCAACAGCAUAUCCUUCGUGAAGUUCGAAAUCUGGCCAGUGAGGGAAGCCAGGCUGCCCCCUACUUGACCGAGAGACUGGCCCAAGCCGGAGCCGAGGCCCCCGAGCCAGGACGACAUCGCUGCGGGUGGACACGUCCUCUCCAAAUGUCCCUGGACGCCGAAGCUGGUGCGGAUCCAGACGCUGAGGACUCGCAGGACACGGCACUCCCACCAACGGCCGCGUCAGAAAGCCGAGGCCCGGCCUGACGCUUCACCAAGGGUUCGCCGUUGUGGACACCGUGGGCCCCGCGAGGCCUCUGCUCAUUCCCACGGCUUCCCGCCGUGCGGCUGCACUACUUCUUUCUCAGCUUUACUGACUUUCCUCAGUUUCGUGGGCCAGUCCUGCCAACUCAACGCCGGCCGCCAUGACACUGCCGGGAAAGCGGCAGUGACCAUAGAGAAGCUUCGCGAUAGCGUAGAAGGGCCGCUGCCAGAGGCGUCCCGGGCGCGAAGGACCGUGGGAUCGCGGAGGACCAAGUAAAUGGGCCAGCCAGAUCCGUGACUUCCGCGUAACCUGCGGAACUUUAGGUGGAGACCGAAAAGGCAGUGGCGGCGGCGGUGGCUCUUCCCACCUGCGCAGCUGCUUUUGUUUGUAAGAGGAAGUAACCCUUGACAGUGCCUUCUGAUCCUGUCUACAAGAGCUAUUGCAUCGCUAGGAUUCGAUAGGGUCGUCCCACCCCACAGGGAAGCAACCUCAAUCCAUCUGCAUUACUCUAUUAUCCAGCGUCUGCGGAUAUAAGAGCAUCCGUGCCAGAGGGUUGGAAACGAGGCUACAAAGCUGAAAAAGCGGGUUGCAAUUCAAAUGUCCAGGCAGAAAACCCUUGUUUUGGUGUUUGUUUUCAGUUACCAUGCACUUAAAGGAUUGUGGGAUCCCAUGACCGCCUCUCAAAUGAUCCCUCUCUGAAUAAUUUUCACCAGAUAUCUAUUUGAAUUUAGGGGUUGCCUCCGAGGGUUUUUCAGCUUCCGUGUCCCAGAACAAGGAAUUGGACAGAGACACGUGGCUAGUAGUAAGGAAG